GCCGGGAUGGCGAAAUCGGUAGACGCAGUGGAUUCAAAAUCCACCGGUCGAAAGACCAUGGGGGUUCAAGUCCCCCUCCCGGUACCA
This 87-nucleotide transfer RNA is filed under the name Pseudomonadaceae bacterium. RNAcentral's name for it is "tRNA-Leu". It matches the Rfam family "tRNA". From Rfam's summary of the family: Transfer RNA (tRNA) molecules are approximately 80 nucleotides in length. Their secondary structure includes four short double-helical elements and three loops (D, anti-codon, and T loops). Further hydrogen bonds mediate the characteristic L-shaped molecular structure. tRNAs have two regions of fundamental functional importance: the anti-codon, which is responsible for specific mRNA codon recognition, and the 3' end, to which the tRNAs corresponding amino acid is attached (by aminoacyl-tRNA synthetases). tRNAs cope with the degeneracy of the genetic code in two manners: having more than one tRNA (with a specific anti-codon) for a particular amino acid; and 'wobble' base-pairing, i.e. permitting non-standard base-pairing at the 3rd anti-codon position. The record is from RNAcentral. Lineage: Bacteria; Pseudomonadati; Pseudomonadota; Gammaproteobacteria; Pseudomonadales; Pseudomonadaceae.